RNAcentral lists this ribosomal RNA (1419 nucleotides) under Streptococcus sp. enrichment culture clone D3. RNAcentral's name for it is "bacterial SSU rRNA". It matches the Rfam family "Bacterial small subunit ribosomal RNA". Lineage: Bacteria; Bacillati; Bacillota; Bacilli; Lactobacillales; Streptococcaceae. The record is from RNAcentral.
UACAUGCAAGUAGAACGCUGAAGAGAGGAGCUUGCUCUUCUUGGAUGAGUUGCGAACGGGUGAGUAACGCGUAGGUAACCUGCCUUGUAGCGGGGGAUAACUAUUGGAAACGAUAGCUAAUACCGCAUAACAAUGGAUGACACAUGUCAUUUAUUUGAAAGGGGCAAUUGCUCCACUACAAGAUGGACCUGCGUUGUAUUAGCUAGUAGGUGAGGUAAUGGCUCACCUAGGCGACGAUACAUAGCCGACCUGAGAGGGUGAUCGGCCACACUGGGACUGAGACACGGCCCAGACUCCUACGGGAGGCAGCAGUAGGGAAUCUUCGGCAAUGGGGGCAACCCUGACCGAGCAACGCCGCGUGAGUGAAGAAGGUUUUCGGAUCGUAAAGCUCUGUUGUAAGUCAAGAACGGGUGUGAGAGUGGAAAGUUCACACUGUGACGGUAGCUUACCAGAAAGGGACGGCUAACUACGUGCCAGCAGCCGCGGUAAUACGUAGGUCCCGAGCGUUGUCCGGAUUUAUUGGGCGUAAAGCGAGCGCAGGCGGUUUGAUAAGUCUGAAGUUAAAGGCUGUGGCUCAACCAUAGUUCGCUUUGGAAACUGUCAAACUUGAGUGCAGAAGGGGAGAGUGGAAUUCCAUGUGUAGCGGUGAAAUGCGUAGAUAUAUGGAGGAACACCGGUGGCGAAAGCGGCUCUCUGGUCUGUAACUGACGCUGAGGCUCGAAAGCGUGGGGAGCGAACAGGAUUAGAUACCCUGGUAGUCCACGCCGUAAACGAUGAGUGCUAGGUGUUGGAUCCUUUCCGGGAUUCAGUGCCGCAGCUAACGCAUUAAGCACUCCGCCUGGGGAGUACGACCGCAAGGUUGAAACUCAAAGGAAUUGACGGGGGCCCGCACAAGCGGUGGAGCAUGUGGUUUAAUUCGAAGCAACGCGAAGAACCUUACCAGGUCUUGACAUCCCGAUGCUAUUUCUAGAGAUAGAAAGUUACUUCGGUACAUCGGUGACAGGUGGUGCAUGGUUGUCGUCAGCUCGUGUCGUGAGAUGUUGGGUUAAGUCCCGCAACGAGCGCAACCCCUAUUGUUAGUUGCCAUCAUUCAGUUGGGCACUCUAGCGAGACUGCCGGUAAUAAACCGGAGGAAGGUGGGGAUGACGUCAAAUCAUCAUGCCCCUUAUGACCUGGGCUACACACGUGCUACAAUGGUUGGUACAACGAGUUGCGAGUCGGUGACGGCGAGCUAAUCUCUUAAAGCCAAUCUCAGUUCGGAUUGUAGGCUGCAACUCGCCUACAUGAAGUCGGAAUCGCUAGUAAUCGCGGAUCAGCACGCCGCGGUGAAUACGUUCCCGGGCCUUGUACACACCGCCCGUCACACCACGAGAGUUUGUAACACCCGAAGUCGGUGAGGUAACCUUUUGGAGCCAGCCC